RNAcentral lists this ribosomal RNA (800 nucleotides) under unidentified microorganism. RNAcentral describes it as "bacterial SSU rRNA". It matches the Rfam family "Bacterial small subunit ribosomal RNA", at positions 629 to 1426 of the family's 1533-position model. The record is from RNAcentral.
GGUACGGGCAGACUAGAGUGCGGUAGGGGAGAUUGGAAUUCCUGGUGUAGCGGUGGAAUGCGCAGAUAUCAGGAGGAACACCGAUGGCGAAGGCAGAUCUCUGGGCCGUUACUGACGCUGAGGAGCGAAAGCAUGGGGAGCAAACAGGCUUAGAUACCCUGGUAGUCCAUGCCGUAAACGUUGGGAACUAGAUGUGGGGACCAUUCCACGGUCUCCGUGUCGUAGCUAACGCAUUAAGUUCCCCGCCUGGGGAGUACGGCCGCAAGGCUAAAACUCAAAGGAAUUGACGGGGGCCCGCACAAGCGGCGGAGCAUGCGGAUUAAUUCGAUGCAACGCGAAGAACCUUACCAAGGCUUGACAUAUACGAGAACGCGCUGGAGACAGCGAACUCUUUGGACACUCGUAUACAGGUGGUGCAUGGUUGUCGUCAGCUCGUGUCGUGAGAUGUUGGGUUAAGUCCCGCAACGAGCGCAACCCUCGUCCUAUGUUGCCAGCACGUAAUGGUGGGAACUCAUGGGAUACUGCCGGGGUCAACUCGGAGGAAGGUGGGGAUGAGGUCAAAUCAUCAUGCCCCUUAUGUCUUGGGCUUCACGCAUGCUACAAUGGCCGGUACAAUGGGCUGCGAUACCGCAAGGUGGAGCGAAUCCCAAAAAGCCGGUCUCAGUUCGGAUUGGGGUCUGCAACUCGACCCCAUGAAGUCGGAGUCGCUAGUAAUCGUAGAUCAGCAACGCUACGGUGAAUACGUUCCCGGGCCUUGUACACACCGCCCGUCAAGUCAUGAAAGUCGGUAACACCCGAAG